UGCAUAUCCAAAAAGCGGAGGAAAAGAAACCAACAGGGAUUGCCCUAGUAAUGGCGAAUGAACAGGCAAAAGCUCAGAUUUGAAACCCUCGGGAUUGUAAUCUGCAGGCCUGGAUUUGGCACGCUGACCAAGUCUCCUGGAACGGAGCGCCAUGGAGGGUGACAGCCCCGUAGCAGCAGCCACCGCAAAUCCGGGCCAACGAGUCGAGUUGUUUGGGAAUGCAGCUCUAAGUGGGUGGUAUGCUCCAUCUAAAGCUAAAUAUUGGCGAGAGACCGAUAGCGAACAAGUACUGUGAAGGAAAGAUGAAAAGAACUUUGAAAAGAGAGUGAAAAAGUACGUGAAAUUGUUGAAAUGGAAGGCAGUGAGGUGCGAUUGAGCCGGACGUUUGCGGGCAGGACAAAAGCGCAGGCCGCCUCGGCAUUGCCUGCGUGCAUACUGCCUCGCGGACUACCGGCUCUAACAACGCCUUACUGCACCCGUCUUGA
Molecule: ribosomal RNA, 485 nt
Filed under: Starmerella sp.
Lineage: Eukaryota; Fungi; Ascomycota; Dipodascomycetes; Dipodascales; Trichomonascaceae
Description: partial large subunit ribosomal RNA
Rfam family: Eukaryotic large subunit ribosomal RNA
Source: RNAcentral